Micropterus salmoides (largemouth bass) is the source of this 553-nucleotide long non-coding RNA. RefSeq lists it as uncharacterized. The transcript has 3 exons. Lineage: Eukaryota; Metazoa; Chordata; Actinopteri; Centrarchiformes; Centrarchidae. The record is from RefSeq and is a predicted model, not a curated record.
GGUGAUCUCCUAUGGGGAUCCUUCCACAUCAGAUGCUGGUUGGAAUAACAGUCCUGUUGAAGACAGUGCCAUCAAACAGUUACAGACUGAAUGAUAUUUACAUUACAAUAUAGUGACAUGUAAUAUGGUACAACAUAGGCAACAAAUCUGAUGUGGCUGGUGCAGGUACGGUGGGCACCAAACCAAGCUGUCUGGGGUCAUCUGGGAGAAGGCUCCUCAAUCUAGGCAUCCACCCUCCACUUGUUUGACCAAAAGGACGUAACACUUGGGCAGGAAGAUGCAGGUCAGCAGGCCAAAGCUGGAAGCCAGGAUGGCAAAAAUCUGGACGGCAACCAUGAACUUGCCACGUGUGCUGAGGUAAGCCGGGACAAAGGAGAUCCACACGAUGAAGAAGACCAGCAUGCCGAAGGUCACACACUUCGCCUCACUGGAAAAACCUUGCGUGUUUCCUACCUUAAGUGGUCCUCCAGUUUGCGGGCUAUGAAGGCAAAGAUGAAGGCCAGAAGAGCCAGCAGGAUGUCAUAGCCAAAGAUACAACAGAUGAAAACCACAG